RNAcentral lists this small nuclear RNA (104 nucleotides) under Catagonus wagneri (Chacoan peccary). The record is from RNAcentral. Lineage: Eukaryota; Metazoa; Chordata; Mammalia; Artiodactyla; Tayassuidae.
AUUUUUUCAGCGACACAUGUACAAAAAUUGGAAUGAUACAGAGAAAAUUAGCAUGGCCCCUGUGCAGGACUGACAUGCAAACUCAUGAGGUGUUCCAUGUUUUC